CUUUGGAAGCGUGUGGCGUUUUUUUUUAACGAAAUGUCUUCCAAUACUUCAUCGCAGCAUCCAUACCACCUACAUUAGCAUUUAAAACCAUCAUUUACAUUUUCAUAUCCUUUUCAAAAUUUAAAGUAUGCUGUUUUUCACUUGAUCAAAAGUUUUUUUUUUGGUCGAUUUUUUUUUUUUUUUAAUCAAAAGUUCAAAACUGGCUUUUUCUUUUAUUUGUUUAUUUAUCUUUUUUGCCUACAAAGGGUAUGAGUGUGUAUGCUGUGUUUGGAGAAAGGAAAGGAUGAAAGUGUCGGGAAGGAAGACGGUUGUGGAAAAUGGUAGGGAAAAGCGUCGGUUCUGAGUUAAACUGGAAAUCAGAUCGAAAUAGGAAUGAACCAGCCAGCUUCGGGUGGUUAGUUCGCUCUCGGCCUCUCGUGCAGCACCACCAUGGUCUCACUAUCUUGUUGCCAUCCACCAUCCCAACCAUACCAUGCUUGAGAGCCAUUUCAGGCCGUUUCUCGCAGUUUGCUCUUAGGGUCGUCAGCGUGAGCUUCUCCUAACCCGGUCUUUAGUUUACCUGCACCCCUUCCUAUGACAAUGGUCAGGACAAUUUCCCAUCUUUCAUACCAUGAGAAUGCCGGAGUUGAUCAUCAUGGAACAUUAAUAGAGAUCCUAAGGAAAGCGUCCAAGACCUAUGCAGGUCAAGUUUCUUAAAUAUUAGCUGGAAUGGGAAAGUAGGAUGAUUGCUAAAUAGCUGGACAGAGCACAAGCAAUCCCACCUCAUAGAUUCAGCGCAAAAUAUUGGAUAUUUCUCACGACAACAAAGAAGGGAAAGCAAAUUUCAGUCCAGUCUCCCCCCUGCGUCCUCUAAGAGAGAACAGGGAACGGGUCCGUUAUUAUGGGACCAUUUCGGGCAAAAAACAAGAAGAUGAUGAUGAUGAAAAUCUCGGGCUUCUGAACAUCUUCAGCAGAGAUGUAUAACUAGAAUCAGUACCACCCCUUCUCUCUUCUUCCUCGUCUCGUUUUAAGCAGCUUGAGCCUUGGCAACCUCAAGCUUAGCGCCAACUGCGUCCCAGGAAACGAGCUUCUCCAUGAAGAUUGAUAUGUAAUCAGGCCGUCGGUUCUGCAAGAACUCAUAGGAAAGAGAUGGUUAAGAAGUUAGACUACCCUUGACCGUCUGUAUCAGAUUUUGCAGCAUGAAUUUCUGCAUUGGGGAGCAACUGCGAAGGAACCUAACCUGAUAGUCAAGGUAGUAUGCAUGCUGCAACCCAAAUAAAAGUUUCAAAGAGUUAGUAACUUCAUAGAUAUGCUGUCUCUUUGGCAAGAAUUUGAGAGACGGAGCUCAAGGA
This is a long non-coding RNA of Eucalyptus grandis, 1331 nucleotides long. RefSeq lists it as uncharacterized. The record is from RefSeq and is a predicted model, not a curated record. NCBI's taxonomy places the organism in Eukaryota, Viridiplantae, Streptophyta, Magnoliopsida, Myrtales, Myrtaceae. The transcript is spliced from 2 exons.